CAGCAGCCGCGGUAAUACGGAGGGUGCAAGCGUUAAUCGGAAUUACUGGGCGUAAAGCGCACGCAGGCGGUCUGACAAGUCAGAUGUGAAAUCCCCGGGCUUAACCUGGGAACUGCAUUAGAAACUGUCAGGCUGGAGUCUUGUAGAGGGGGGUGGAAUUCCAGGUGUAGCGGUGAAAUGCGUAGAGAUCUGGAGGAAUACCGGUGGCGAAGGCGGCCCCCUGGACAAAGACUGACGCUCAGGUGCGAAAGCGUGGGGAGCAAACAGGAUUAGAUACCCGUGUAGUCCCUGUCUCUUAUAC
Molecule: ribosomal RNA, 301 nt
Filed under: uncultured bacterium
Lineage: Bacteria
Description: partial 16S ribosomal RNA
Rfam family: Bacterial small subunit ribosomal RNA
Source: RNAcentral